UCCGAGUUGACCCCGGCAGUCUCCUGCGAGUCCCCGCCAUUACGCGCUGGCAACACAGGACAAGGGUUGCGCUCGUUGCGGGACUUAACCCAACAUCUCACGACACGAGCUGACGACAGCCAUGCAGCACCUGUGUCACGGUUCCCGAAGGCACCAAUCCAUCUCUGGAAAGUUCCGUGCAUGUCAAGGCCAGGUAAGGUUCUUCGCGUUGCAUCGAAUUAAACCACAUACUCCACCGCUUGUGCGGGCCCCCGUCAAUUCCUUUGAGUUUCAGUCUUGCGACCGUACUUCCCAGGCGGCGAACUUAACGCGUUAGCUUCGAUACUGAAGGCUCAAUUGCCCCCAACAUCCAGUUCGCAUCGUUUAGGGCGUGGACUAC
RNAcentral lists this unclassified non-coding RNA (379 nucleotides) under uncultured Lysobacteraceae bacterium. RNAcentral's name for it is "uncultured Xanthomonadaceae bacterium contains 16S-23S intergenic spacer region". Lineage: Bacteria; Pseudomonadati; Pseudomonadota; Gammaproteobacteria; Lysobacterales; Lysobacteraceae. The record is from RNAcentral.